RNAcentral lists this ribosomal RNA (467 nucleotides) under uncultured bacterium. RNAcentral's name for it is "partial 16S ribosomal RNA". It matches the Rfam family "Bacterial small subunit ribosomal RNA", at positions 28 to 507 of the family's 1533-position model. The record is from RNAcentral.
GACGAACGCUGGCGGCGUGCUUAACACAUGCAAGUCGAACGGAAAGGCCCUGCUUUUGUGGGGUGCUCGAGUGGCGAACGGGUGAGUAACACGUGAGUAACCUGCCCUUGACUUUGGGAUAACUUCAGGAAACUGGGGCUAAUACCGGAUAGGAGCUCCUGCUGCAUGGUGGGGGUUGGAAAGUUUCGGCGGUUGGGGAUGGACUCGCGGCUUAUCAGCUUGUUGGUGGGGUAGUGGCUUACCAAGGCUUUGACGGGUAGCCGGCCUGAGAGGGUGACCGGCCACAUUGGACUUGAGAUCCGGCCCAGACUCUUCCGGGAGCAGGAGGUGGGGAAUAUUGACCAAUGGCGGAAGCCUGAUGCAGCAACGCCGCGUGCGGGAUGACGGCCUUCGGGUUGUAAACCGCUUUCGCCUGUGACGAAGCGUGAGUGACGGUAAUGGGUAAAGAAGCACCGGCUAACUACGUG